GCGGCUGCGGCGGCAGAAGAAGCAGUUACUUGACUGGUGACUGCCGUAGCGGAAACAUCGCUGCUGCAACUGUUUCAGAUCUCUUCCAACAAGAGGAACCACUCCUAGACUGGAAUUUGAUGGGGGCUUAGAAGUGAUUAAGACAGAGAAGCCAUUCAUAGACUGGACUUAAAUCAGGUACUGAUCCUCCUGCAUACAUCACCUGGGUUAUAACCAUGUUGUAAUGUCAAUUUCUAAUAAAGUACAUUUUUAAACAUUUAAUAUUAUCCUGUAUUUGCUGAUUUCUAAAUCAAUAAAGUAUCUUAAUUAAAUAAAA
Cottoperca gobio is the source of this 316-nucleotide long non-coding RNA. RefSeq lists it as uncharacterized. The transcript has 4 exons. The record is from RefSeq and is a predicted model, not a curated record. Lineage: Eukaryota; Metazoa; Chordata; Actinopteri; Perciformes; Bovichtidae.